Molecule: long non-coding RNA, 3012 nt
Organism: Ostrea edulis (European flat oyster)
Lineage: Eukaryota; Metazoa; Mollusca; Bivalvia; Ostreida; Ostreidae
Exons: 2
Source: RefSeq, a predicted model, not a curated record
UUUCAGAGAUGUAUGAAUUAAAUUAAUCCGUCUAUAUCUACUACUAACGGACGAAUGUUUAAUUUUUUUAAACCCUGGGUUGAUAUAAAUACACUGCUACCGGGCGAGUGUAUAAUUUCUUUUUAACCCUGGGUGGGUAUAACUCCAGGAGUGAACGGUGUCUUAUUUUUUAACGUACAUUUUGUUUUCGUCUGCAUAGAUUUGUAAUGUCUAUACGCAAAAAAUAUGUGUAAAAGUUCUGAUGAAAGACGAAACAAAAACAUUGCUUUCAGUUUCUCACUGUAAUGUUGAAUAUUUGUCAGAAAUAAAUGAAAUCUUGAAUCCACAUCAGACUGAAGUACACUGAACAUAUCUAACGAUUAAUGUAAUAAUUAAAGUGACCAGGUGUUAAAGCAUACGCCCCCCCCCCCACCCCUCCUCCCUCUAUAGUACCCUCUCCCUGGAAAAUCGGAUAAUGCAGGUUAGACAAAAUGUGCCCCGGUAUUAAAUUUUCCUCCUGCACGAAAUUAUCAGUUUAGUUUUUUUUAAAAACCCAUUUUGUUUAAAACACACAAUACGCAUUAUCCUGGAUAAUUCAGGGUGGCCUCCUCGGUUUGAAACAUGGAAAUACUUAGUUUGAUAUUGACAUAUUCUAUCUAUUUUUAUUUCCAAGGGCAGCAAUUUGUUUAGAUUGUGCAGUGAAAGGCAGUUGACCGCUGGAUCCGUGUGUAAAACGUGUGUAUUGCUUGUGACAAAAGCGUGACUCACUAGCAAUAUUUCGCAAUGGCGAUUAUCUUAAGAGAUAAGUUCAUGGUCCUUCACUGAAAGUGUAGUAUGCAAUACACAUACCUAGAUCUAGACGGAGAAGUUUUUCUUGUUUUAUUUCUAAGGAGCCGCAGUAAAACCACUAUUAGCGUUCAAUUUCAUGCGUACAUGCAUUCAACAUUUUAAGUUUUCAGUGUAGUUUUGGUUUUACUUGAUACUUAAAUUGUGUAAAUAUCUGCUGACUAUAUAUUCUUUAUAGUCAAGCUUAACAUGUUUACAAGUGGAAAACUACUUUUUUUUAUUGUACGAGUCUAUUGUACAUUGUAACAAAAGUUUUGUUAAAUUUAUUAUAUAGUGUAAGAAAGUUUUAGUAUAAAUCAUUAUGAGGAAAUAUGGUGGCUAGGAAGGGAGACGAGGAACCACAUUUAUUAAACACUGGUAUGACUUUUUGUUUAAUUUCUCUAAUUCUAUGACAAUCAUUUUAGAAUACGGUUUUCUCAAUAAGAAGUUAAUAGUAUCAUUUUGGUUAUACCCAACCAUAUAGGUGAGACAACGGAACUCAAUCCCGUAGGGAUCUGGGUUAAAAUAUAUGUAGGUCCUAUCGUAAGAGGCGACUAAAUGGGGACGGUCCUUCGGAUGAGACCGCAAAAACCGAGGUUCCGUGUCACAGCAGGUGAGGUACGAUGAAGAUCCCUCCCUGCUAAAAGCCCGUAACCGCCAAGCAUAGGUGAUGUCUCCAUAUGAGUGAAUUUUUUAAAAGAUGGAUGUUAAACAAUAUUCAAUCAAUCAAUAUCACUAGUCUCUGGUGUCAGUCUACUGAUAAAUGACUUGAUAUAACAGAGUGUUGAAAUGAUUCGUUUAAAUGAUGAAACGAGAAUACAGGAAUACAAGCAAUGUUUUAAAAAAUAUUUAUGUAUAUAUGUAUCUAUUGUCACAUAGUGUAUGGUCAUUUUUGGAGGGAUGAUAUCAUUAUAUCAGGAAAUUGAUAUGUUAUAUUUAUUCCUCAAAUCAAACAUAUUUUCAAUAUUGAAUAACAAUUAUCUUAAUGUAAUAAAUACUGCCUCUUUUCAUUUUGUUGCCUUUUCGCCUCAAAAUAAUGACGACAAAAGUGUGAAAUGACAGAAAUCAGCUGCCGUACUAAAGGUUUCAGGCUUGUUGGGAAUUGCUAAGGGUUGUUAGCUAAAUUCCGUGCUUAAUUUUUUUAAUUGAUUUUUUAGUAACUAAAAGAUGUUUUAAUAGAAUAUUCAUGAAUCUCGAUUCUGAUCUUUAUCAUGAGGAAUGGUCAUGUUAAGUGUUGAAAAGUCGUUUCUUUUGGCGCUGUUUUUUUUUUAUCAUUCAUUUUAGGCACUUGACCCCACCCACCCUGGUGUAUCCAGGAGUCCGUGUUUGCAGGUCUCUCAAUUUUGUAUUCUAUUUAGGAAUCAUGAGAUUGGUUAAUACUCGUUUUCUUCACUCUUUAAAGAAUCAUCUGUAAACAAGGUACCGAAAUUGAUUGCUAUAUUAAAACUUUGAUAAUUGAGCCUGUUGAAAACAUGUAUCAUUUUACAAACAAAUACGCACGCUAGAUAUAUUUUGUAUGCAUGUAUAAAGAACACAUUUCAAUAGAUGUGCUUUGAGGAUAAGGACGUACCUACAUGUAUUAUACUACUUGUGCCUAACUACUUAUGUGCCUAUUCACACACAUAUCCCAUUCUUGUCAAGAGCUGCUUUUAUCUACAUGGGAGAAUAUUAAAUCGGAAAACAUGAAAGUGUCCGUGAUUGUAGCCUGUAUUUGUGGUGUACUUGUCAAUAACGUGUACAGUCAGUACAUAACAUGGGACAGUAACGAUGAGAAAUAUUUUCUGCCUGUCCGUAUCAACUUGUCAUCGCUCAAAAGGAAUUACAUCGCAUGGAGAAGAAGAUUGAGGAACUGAAUGAACGUCUUCGUGAUCUAGUGGAGAUGGGGAAAGCUGAAGGACCCCGGGGACCACCUGGUUUACCGGGAGUGCCUGGGCGCGAUGGACGACCCGGAGAGCAUGGACUUCCGGGACGGGAGGGAGACCGGGGAGACUAUGGAAUACCUGGGCGGAAGGGACAAGCAGGAAUCCUGGGAUUAGCUGGAUGACCGCGUGGUUUACCCGGACUUCCAAGGGAAGACGGAAAACCUGGAAGAAGAGGACGACCUGGGAACAAGGGCCGAAAGGAGAGCCCGGACGACCUGGACUUCCGGGAUUAAUGGGAGCGAAAGGAGAUCGAGGAUUUCCGGGAUUACCCGGGAGAUAGAGGAAA